UACGUAGGGCGCGAGCGUUGUCCGGAAUUAUUGGGCGUAAAGAGCUCGUAGGCGGCUUGUCACGUCGGGUGUGAAAGCCCGGGGCUUAACCCCGGGCCUGCAGUGGGUACGGGCAGACUAGAGUGCGGUAGGGGAGACUGGAAUUCCUGGUGUAGCGGUGAAAUGCGCAGAUAUCAGGAGGAACACCGGUGGCGAAGGCGGGUCUCUGGGCCGUAACUGACGCUGAGGAGCGAAAGCGUGGGGAGCGAACAGG
Molecule: ribosomal RNA, 253 nt
Filed under: uncultured bacterium
Lineage: Bacteria
Description: partial 16S ribosomal RNA
Rfam family: Bacterial small subunit ribosomal RNA
Source: RNAcentral